RNAcentral lists this small nuclear RNA (196 nucleotides) under Theobroma cacao (cacao). RNAcentral's name for it is "snRNA U2". It matches the Rfam family "U2 spliceosomal RNA". From Rfam's summary of the family: U2 is a small nuclear RNA (snRNA) component of the spliceosome (involved in pre-mRNA splicing). Complementary binding between U2 snRNA (in an area lying towards the 5' end but 3' to hairpin I) and the branchpoint sequence (BPS) of the intron results the bulging out of an unpaired adenosine, on the BPS, which initiates a nucleophilic attack at the intronic 5' splice site, thus starting the first of two transesterification reactions that mediate splicing. The record is from Rfam by way of RNAcentral. Lineage: Eukaryota; Viridiplantae; Streptophyta; Magnoliopsida; Malvales; Malvaceae.
AUACCUUUCUCGGCCUUUUGGCUAAGAUCAAGUGUAGUAUCUGUUCUUAUCAGUUUAAUAUCUGAUACGUGGGCCAUUGGUCCACAUGAUAUUAAAUUAAUUUUUUUAGGGGGAGAGCCCAUAACGGUAGCUUGCUACUGGGGAUCUCAGGUGUCGCCCAUGCGUUGCACUAUAGCUUGGGCCUGGCGCAACCCAC